This is a small nuclear RNA of Monodelphis domestica (gray short-tailed opossum), 107 nucleotides long. Lineage: Eukaryota; Metazoa; Chordata; Mammalia; Didelphimorphia; Didelphidae. The record is from Ensembl.
GUGCUUGCUUUGGCAACACAUAUACUAAAAUUGGAACAAUACAGAGAAGAUUAGAUUGGUCCCUAAACAAGGAUGGCAUGCAAAUUUGUGAAGCAUAUCAUAUAUAU